AAUAUUGCACAAUGGGCGAAAGCCUGAUGCAGCGACGCCGCGUGAGGGAUGACGGCCUUCGGGUUGUAAACCUCUUUCAGCAGGGACGAAGCGAGCGUGACGGUACCUGCAGAAGAAGCGCCGGCCAACUUCGUGCCCGCAGCCGCGGUAAUACGUAGGGCGCAAGCGUUGUCCGGCAUUAUUGGGCGUAAAGUUCUCGUAGGCGGCUUAUCACGUCGGCUGUGAAAUCCCGAGGCUUAACCUCGGGCCUGCAGUCGAUACGGGUUGACUAGAGUGAAGCAGGGGAGACUGGAAUUCCUGGUGUAGCGGUGAAAUGCGCAGAUAUCAGGAGGAACACCGGUGGCGAAGGCGGGUCUCUGGGCUUUAACUGACGCUGAGGAGCGAAAGCGUGGGUAGCGAACA
Molecule: ribosomal RNA, 402 nt
Filed under: uncultured bacterium
Lineage: Bacteria
Description: partial 16S ribosomal RNA
Rfam family: Bacterial small subunit ribosomal RNA
Source: RNAcentral